This 1940-nucleotide long non-coding RNA is filed under the name Androctonus crassicauda. The record is from RNAcentral. Lineage: Eukaryota; Metazoa; Arthropoda; Arachnida; Scorpiones; Buthidae.
CAAUUACGUCUUGGCUCUUGGCUUCAUUGUUUAAACGAAAUUUCAUAUCCCUUGAUGGUCUUAACUUCACGUCGCCAUGACGACGGAUAACAGGAAUUGUGACGUCACUAGUAUCGAGACGGAUUCCUGCAGGAAAAAAGAUUGGAUUCCUUAAAAAUGAAGCAUUGUAAACAAGACGAAAUAAAAUUGAUGCGGAACAACCAACACUUUAUCACGCCUCGGAUUAUUAACCGCACCAUGUUUUAUGGAAAUUUCUCCAUUAUCCGACUUAAAAAUUUGGUUAGGAAAAAAAAACGGUAAUAAAUUAAAGGGGGAGAAAAUUUUCGAAUGUAUUAUUAUUAUUUAACAAAUGGAGCGCGUGGUAGCAUACAGGCGGUUUUUUUCACCACAUAAAGCCAACAAUUAUCCCCGGUGGAGUGUGUAGAUUCGUUUGCCGUUCGGAUCAGAAACAAGGAAAAAAAAACCCGCAGAACAACCCUCAUUCUGUAUUGAAUUCAACGUCGACUUUUGCUGCUCUUGUACAGUAUACAGUAUUGUAGUGACCUCUACGUUUUUCACGUCCACAGCUGGCUGCACGGGGAAAAGAGGGAGGGGAUGGGAGCCUGCUGCUCUCUGGAUAGAUCUAUUACUGUUUUCGGGGGGUGGACCGCGGUCGAAGUUGUCGUUGGUGUUACAAUUAGGACUAGGCAUUCCUGCUUCGAUAAAACGGGAUUGAGAUGAUCAGAGUUUGUGCUAAAAUAGAUUCUUCUGUUUUUCUCGAUAAGAUUAAGACGGCUUAUAAAAAAUGCCACGAAUUUAAAAAAAGAGAAAAAAAAAGGAGCACACGAGUUAUCCAUUAUCCAAUUUAGAAUCAAAACUCUCAUUCCCGUCGGUGUCGGGUAGUCGAAUAUGGCGGAAUUGGGGCAGCGUGGGGGAAUAUUGGAAGUGGUUCCUAGUAGAAGCUUCUGCUCAGUGUCUCCAGCCCAGUCCAGGCGACAUCUGACGGCCGUGCCUAUAAUUAGUAUAAUAAGGGUGUUCACUCUGGAGUUGGUCCAUCAGGAUCUGGAAAUGUUCGGGCCUCUCUGUCACGGAAAAGUAAUAUUUAACUCUCUUGGAAUAUCACGUGUGGGGCAGGAAAAUCCUCACGUGUCCAUCUCGUGCAGGAAGUUUAGCUGGAAACGAGGAGGACAUUAAGUGGUAUAGCACGUAAUGGUCGCAGCUGGACUUUGGACAUUGUUGACAGUAAUUAGGCUAGCAAGUGGACAUGUGACGGAGAUGUAUCUUUCUCUCUUCGAUUUUUCUCCUGUUUCCUCCUAUAGCUCUGACUCAACUCUUAGACUUUGUUAAUUUAUUACACGUCUUUUCCUAUGGUAUCCCCUUCCCCUCCUGCACGCGCUAAGGUUAAUGGAGAAGUUUUCCGUACUUAAGUUGAUUUUUCUUUCUUACAAGACUUAUAAAAUGAUUAUUUUCGGGUUUCGUCCCGGCUUUGAUAUUUGUCGGAAGUCUGAGAUCUUAUAUAUAUAUAUCACCAUCGUCCCAUCGUGGUUAAUUUACACACUGGUAUGGUGUCCGUUAAGAUCGAGCUAGUCGUAGUUUCGAACGGUUCUUUAGUGUCGAACAAUGCAAAUAGCGCUCAUCACACACAGGUCGGUUAGAGUCUCGUUCAAAAAUUUUAAAUGGGUCGGACGACAAGUGGUGUUGACCGAAUAUGAUAAAGAGAACGAGUAAUUGUACGAAUGCGAACAGUAGGCAGAACUCUCAUGAAUUUCUCACAGCUAUGUGGACCCAUUUCCCCGCCCGCCAGCGUUCCGUUUUUAGCUUAACGAACGUGUCUCAUUAAUAUUCAACCGCCUUUUUAACUCCACGUGUUCGGAGAAGGACAAGAACCGGCGGGUGUGGUCCUGGCCGCGUGUGUGUGUGUCUGUGUCUGUGUGUGUGUGUGUGAGCUGGAUUUCUAGCUG